CGUAGGUGGCAAGCGUUGUCCGGAUUUACUGGGCGUAAAGAGCACGCAGGCGGUCGGCCAAGUCGAGUGUGAAAGCCCCCGGCUCAACUGGGGAGGGUCACUCGAUACUGGUCGACUUGAAGGCGGGAGAGGGAAGCGGAAUUCCCGGUGUAGUGGUGAAAUGCGUAGAUAUCGGGAGGAACACCAGUGGCGAAGGCGGCUUCCUGGCCCGUUCUUGACGCUCAUGUGACGAAAGCGUAGGGGAGCGAAACGGGAUUAGACUACCCCGGUAGUCCUAGCUAGUAAACGAUGGACACUAGGUGUUGGUGGUAUCCAACCCCGCCAGUGCCGAAGCUAACGCAUUAAGUCGUCCCGCCUGGGGAGUACGGCCGCAAGGCUA
This 379-nucleotide ribosomal RNA is filed under the name uncultured organism. RNAcentral's name for it is "bacterial SSU rRNA". It matches the Rfam family "Bacterial small subunit ribosomal RNA", at positions 526 to 896 of the family's 1533-position model. The record is from RNAcentral.